UUGCAGUUAAAAAGCUCGUAGUUGGACUUGUGUGCGCUGUCCGCGGGUGGCCUGCGCCCAAAAGGGCGUUUCGGUUCGGCCCCGGUGGCGCCUUGAAAUCUGCAGCUGGGGGGACGUUGGCCUUAACUGGUCGGCGACCGCACGCCGGCUGCUCGGUUACUGUGAGAAAAUUAGAGUGUUCAAGGCAGGCAUUGGGUGCAAUUGAAUACAUUAGCAUGGAAUAAUAAAAUAUGGCUCCUGCCGUAUUUUGUUGGUUUUGACUGGUGGGAGUAAUGAUUGAUAGGGACGGUUGGGGGUGCUAGUAUUGAGCGGCCAGAGGUGAAAUUCAUGGAUUCGCUCAAGACUAACUUAUGCGAAAGCAUUCACCAAGGACGUCCUCUUUAAUCAAGAACGAAAGUUGGGGGAUCGAAGACGAUCAGAUACCGUCGUAGUCUCAACCAUAAACUAUGUCGACUUGGGAUCGGCGGUAGUUUUUUCAUUAAGACACUGUCGGGACCACGGGAGAAAUCAAAGUGUCUGGACUCUGGGGGAAGUAUGGUCGCAAGGCUGAAACUUGAAGGAAUUGACGGAAGGGCACCACCAGGAGUGGAGCCUGCGGCUUAAUUUGACCCAACACGGGGAAACUUACCAGGUCCAGAGAUGUAGAGGAUUGACAGAUUGAAGCUCUUUCUUGAUCACUUCGGUGGUGGUGCAUGGCCGUUCUUAGUUGGUGGAGUGAUUUGUCUGGUUAAUUCCGUUAACGAACGAGACCUCAGCCUGCUAGUGUAGUCGGCUGGAUUGCCUUUGGCGAUCCGUGAUUUCGACUUCUUAGAGGGACAAUCGACGCGCAGUCGAUGGAAGUUUGAGGCAAUAACAGGUCUGUGAUGCCCUUAGAUGUUCUGGGCCGCAUGCGCGCUACACUGCUGGGCUCAGCGAGUUUUACUUGGCCGAGAGGCCCGGUUAAUCUUGUGAAAUCCCAGCGUGCUUGGGCUCGCCUCCUGCAACUGGAGGCGCCAACGAGGAAUUCCUAGUAGACGCAGGUCAUCAACCUGCAUCGAUUACGUCCCUGCCCUUUGUACACACCGCCCGUCGUUCCAUAAGAGUGAGGCAUCCGGUGAAUUCUCGGGAGAGCCUGGGCGUGGCCAGCAAUGGUCUGCUCGGGUUUGAACUUGCAUAAACUUGGUGCCUAUGAUUAGGG
This 1177-nucleotide ribosomal RNA is filed under the name metagenome. Its description in RNAcentral is "SSU rRNA". It matches the Rfam family "Eukaryotic small subunit ribosomal RNA", at positions 613 to 1783 of the family's 1831-position model. The record is from RNAcentral.